RNAcentral lists this unclassified non-coding RNA (22 nucleotides) under Chlamydomonas reinhardtii. RNAcentral describes it as "small RNA Cre_3672". Lineage: Eukaryota; Viridiplantae; Chlorophyta; Chlorophyceae; Chlamydomonadales; Chlamydomonadaceae. The record is from RNAcentral.
UGUUGAUGUUGAUGUUGGUGCG